UCCCUCUGAUGACACCACGAAUCUGGGAAUGAAGAACUUCUUCAUGCUGAUUGGAAAUGGCAUUGCGGAGCUGAAACUUAACUGGAGGAAAUAUAUCUCCUGAAGAAGAAAAUAUAAUGCACUUUAAGGAUCUGGCUUCUGGUGAAAAAUUCAAGCCUAGAGAAAACUUAUCCGCUUUGUUAGGAAGAAUGGGUUGGACAAUUUUCUUCAAUUCCACAGGAUAUCUGAGUGCCAUGCUGAGCUUAAUCUCUGCAGCAUGCUCUGUGCUUCUCAUCUCUUCCUGAUGCAUUGCAUGGUCAGCUCUUUAAUUGCAAGCUCCCUGAAGGGCCAUCUUCAGCACUACACAUUGUAUAUCCCUAUAUUGCUGAUACUGAACAUCAAUUCCUACCAGCUCUAUGGUAGAUAUUAUCCUGAAGGGGAGGAUAAAGAAACUGACCACCAAGAUGGUAAUCACUAGUGGAAAUGAAGAAGAUAAAGGCAGUCAAGAAAAGGAAAGCAAAGAAGAAACCAUCUUGGCAAUGCUUGGAAUUAUUGGGACAAUUCUGAACCUCAUUGUGAUCAUUUUUGUGUACAUUUACACAACGUUGUAAACUAGCAGGCAUGCAAAUAGAACAGAUAAAAUGGCCAUUAAGAGUGACGACAAACAUUGCUGACUAUUGACAAGUUCUUUAAUCAGAAUUGACUCUGUAUUAUAUUAACACAUCAUAAAAGCACUGCCUGCAGGCAGUGAAGGCUGAAGCACAAUUAAUUUAACAAGACUUCUUCACACAGUAACAAGCUAAACUCUUCUGUCCUGCCCUCUUCCUUUCGCUUUGGUUUUCAGUUUUGGGGAAAAAAUGACUGCAAUUAUGGGAUUAGAAAAGCUCUGGAAAACACAAGCACGUCUAGCAAAAUAUCCUGGUGAUCUUAUGUGUUCCAUCACAGUGGAUGUGAACAUGCUGGUUGUGAAAUCCCUGAUCAGGAGCUCCAAACAAAGAGACAAGGACUCUGACUCCUCUGGAAAGCUGCCUUCUCCAGAACAGGAGCUGCACACUUCGCUGUCCCCCCAUCGCAAAAGCAUGCUUCAGAGUAUUUACGCAGAGAGUAGUACUGCUGCCAUCUGCUUGCUGAAGGAAGUAUCAGCACCGUCUUGUUAUGAACACAGUUCUGCUUGUGUCCCAAAUCACCUUUGUUUUCCCCAAGUCUAAAUAUUUAAUCAGAAUUUUUAUCUCACUUGCGCUGUGCAUCCACCAGACAACCCACCUACACUUUCUCUUUUCCCUUAGCUACAGCAACACAAAACAAGUAGCAUGAACACUAUAGUUUCCUAUUUCAUGAUGGGAUUAGAGCUACCUAAUAAGAUGCCAGCUCUGGCAGAAACAUCGCCUGCAGCUGUGGCAUUAAUAAUGCCUCUCUCUCGCAUGGAUUCCCUGACUUCUACUAGGACUGAGCUCUUGCUGCAAUAGGGACCUUCACUUGGCAGAAUGUUUUUGCAA
Molecule: long non-coding RNA, 1475 nt
Filed under: Cairina moschata (Muscovy duck)
Lineage: Eukaryota; Metazoa; Chordata; Aves; Anseriformes; Anatidae
Description: domestica (muscovy Duck (domestic type)) lncRNA (ENSCMMG00000013470.1)
Source: RNAcentral